GCUGGGCGUGGUGAUGCACACCUGUAAUCCCAGCUGCUCGGGAGGCUGGGGCAGGAGGAUCAUAAGUUCAAAGCCAGGGGCUGGGGUUGUGGCUUAGAGGUAGAAUGCUUGCCUAGCACAUGUGAGGCACUGGGUUCAAACUUCAGCACCACAUAAAAAUGGAAUAAAGAUAUUGUGUCCACC
RNAcentral lists this small RNA (183 nucleotides) under Marmota monax (woodchuck). The record is from RNAcentral. Lineage: Eukaryota; Metazoa; Chordata; Mammalia; Rodentia; Sciuridae.